This 18-nucleotide ribosomal RNA is filed under the name Ficus virens. Its description in RNAcentral is "partial 28S ribosomal RNA". The record is from RNAcentral. Lineage: Eukaryota; Viridiplantae; Streptophyta; Magnoliopsida; Rosales; Moraceae. RNAcentral also lists the same sequence under 2 other names.
CAACGCGACCCCAGGUCA